AAAACAACAAACUGAUUUCUUAGAUAUCUAUCAUGCUUUCCGGAAGCAGUCCCACCCAGAAAUUAUUAGUUAUUUAGAAAAGGUCAUCCCUCUCAUUUCUGAUGCAGGACUCCGGUGGCAUCUGACAGAUCUGUGCACCAAGGUAUUCCUGCAGUUAACCCUUCCUACAAAUGUGGAAUCUUGUUAGAUUCAGUGUGCACUAAAACUAGGUAAGAGGGGUAGUCAGGACUUUCCUAACAUCUACAAAUCUCUUACCUUCCAAGAUACAGCGUGGUACCCACCCAGCAAUACAUGAUAUCUUGGCUCUGAGAGAGUGUUUCUCUAACCAUCCUCUGGGCAUGAACCAACUCCAGGCUUUGCACGUGGUGAGCACUUUGAGGGCUUCUCUUUUCCAUAGCAUCACCAUGUUUCAAGUGUUUGCUUGAGCUCAUACUAUUUGCCUUUCCCCUCCUAUGUGGUUGUGUUACAGAAAGCCUUGAGCCGGGCCAUGCUUCUCACAUCUUACCUGCCUCCUCCCUUGUUGAGACAUCGUUUGAAGACUCAUACAACUGUGAUUCACCAACUGGACAAGGCUUUGGCAAAGCUGGGGAUUGGCCAGCUGACUGCUCAGGAAGUAAAAUCGGCUUGUUAUCUCCGUGGCCUGAAUUCUACGCAUAUUGGUGAAGAUAGGUGUCGAACUUGGCUGGGAGAAUGGCUGCAGAUUUCCUGCAGCCUGAAAGAAGCUGAGCUGUCUCUCUUGCUGCACAACGUGGUCCUGCUCUCCACCAACUACCUUGGGACAAGGCGCUGAAUGAACCGUGGAGCGGAUGGCAUUGUCCUGCAGUUGCAUAAUAUAGCAGUGCAGGAACAGACAGCACUUGCCAGCAAAGUCUGUGUGUACUGUUAAGUGUGUG
RNAcentral lists this small RNA (893 nucleotides) under Pongo abelii (Sumatran orangutan). RNAcentral's name for it is "retained intron". Lineage: Eukaryota; Metazoa; Chordata; Mammalia; Primates; Hominidae. The record is from RNAcentral.